This 253-nucleotide ribosomal RNA is filed under the name uncultured bacterium. Its description in RNAcentral is "partial 16S ribosomal RNA". It matches the Rfam family "Bacterial small subunit ribosomal RNA", at positions 524 to 776 of the family's 1533-position model. The record is from RNAcentral.
UACGUAGGGACCAAGCGUUGUUCGGAUUUACUGGGCGUAAAGAGCUCGUAGGCGGUUUGUCGCGUCGGAUGUGAAAGCCCGGGGCUUAACCCCGGGUCUGCAUUCGAUACGGGCAGACUAGAGUGUGGUAGGGGAGAUCGGAAUUCCUGGUGUAGCGGUGAAAUGCGCAGAUAUCAGGAGGAACACCGGUGGCGAAGGCGGAUCUCUGGGCCAUUACUGACGCUGAGGAGCGAAAGCGUGGGGAGCGAACAGG